Homo sapiens (human) is the source of this 2167-nucleotide long non-coding RNA. RefSeq lists it as uncharacterized. The record is from RefSeq and is a predicted model, not a curated record. The transcript is spliced from 2 exons. NCBI's taxonomy places the organism in Eukaryota, Metazoa, Chordata, Mammalia, Primates, Hominidae.
CCCGCCCCCGCCCGCGACGCUUCCGGGAGGUCUAGGCGGCUGCCGUGAGCCGGUCCGAAACGGCUCUAGGUGCACUGUCCGGCUCCAGCCAGGUCCGCUACGCCUGGAGAGCAUGGAGGCAAGUUCUGCCGGCUCCACCUGCAAAGCAGAGCCCCUUUCCACGACUGUGCAGCACCGCUCGCUCCAGCCCCACCAUACCCGCCUGGACGGAGACCGACCGCAGCCUGGGAGAGCCUCCAAGCCUGGAGGCGGGCGCGCGAGCCCUUUCCAAGGAGAACCCACAGCGGCUUCCCCUCUUGCUCCAGGGGCCUCUAGAUCCCACCCCACCUGGCACCUGCGUCUCUCCCAGAACUCGGCCUGCCCCUACCUUCCUGCCAGCCCCCACCCUGCUGGGGCUACUGGGACCUCCUAGCGGCAUGCAGCGUUCAGUAAGCAGCCGCCGGGCCCGGCCUUCGGCCUUUGCAUUUCCCGGUCCAGAUAUGGAGGUGACGGAGGUGUGCUGCGCACUCCCUGCACGCCUCUCCUCCACUGCUCCCCCAUGAGAGGCCUUCCCUAAACCCGGCUAAAGAGUACCUACCCCGUCACCCCCGGCCCGUCCCCCCCCCGUCCCCCUCAGACCUAGGAUGCACCCACCCGCCAGGGGGUUUCAGAGCCAGGGCAGGGUGCCGGCCAUCCAGCCCCAUCCCAGCACCCUUGUCCCUCGGUCCUCCCACUACUCGUCUAGUACUCCCUACACGCCACUCCGCAGGGCUCAACCCCCGCUGUGCUCUGCGGUCGCAGCUGCAGCCGCUUCGGUGCUCCAAGACCAGAGAGGAAGCAAAGACAGAGCUUUCCCAGCCAGGCAUCGCUGCUUUGGCCUUGAAGCUCAGCGUGUGGCUACCUGGACCAAUUCUGUCUGAUGGGGUGUGCAGUAGUGUCAUGAACUACUUCUAUCCCAGGAAGUAACUUGUAAAUGAGUGGAUGAGCCAAUUCUCCUUCUUUCUCUUCCUGCUGGCUGAAGUGUGGACAUGAUGGCAGGAGCUGCAGCAGUCACAUUGGACCAUGGGUCAUCGUGGGAAUGGAAGUCACACAAGGGUAUUUAAAGCCACACAAGGAUAAUGAGCACUGGAUAGAUGGAGCCCGAGUCCCCAUCACAGUGUAGCCCCUGUAACAGAUCUAGACUUCCUGCCUCCCACAUUGAGUAAACUGCUCUCUUGCUUAAGCCACUAUUAUGUUAGGAUUUUUUCAACCCAUAGUCAGAGAUAGUCCUAACUGAUUCACCACCCUCAGAGAGUUUACAGCCAAUUAUGUUUCUCAUGAAAAAGGUUAGCCAGUGGUUGUAAGUGAUCCCGGACUGGAGCGCCAGCUGCACUAAGGCAGUUCGUCUGUGGGAUGGCUCUGUCCUUGUCAGGGAGAGGACCCCUCCUACACACUGGCAUGUUACCACAAGUACAGUGGUAACUAAGCAGGUCGGCAUAGGUGCCCACAGAGCAGACUGAACACCCCGUUUGCUUCCCUCUCCUCUCCGAACUCCCUGGACAUGGCCAAGUAGCAUAAGCCAAGCAGAGGUGAGAAGGAGAGUGGGGCACAGGCAAGUUACCAGUGGGCCCGCGGCUAUCAUGGACUUCCAGAAAAUAAAAAACAGGCAUGAUGGUGUUGGUUUAUAAACCAAAGCAGAGGGCACUGGAGCCCCGUAAGUGUGCAGGAGUGAAUGUAUGUGGCAGGGAGAAGGGUAGAAGGGAGGAGGUUGGGUAGAAGGCUACCUCUACCAGCUGGAAAUGAGUGGUGAAGUCAGCUGGACUUCUGGGUGGGGCGGGGACUUGGAGAACUUUUCUGUCUUACAAAGGGAUUGUAAAAUGCACAAAUCAGCACUCUGUAGAUAGGAUUGUAAAACGCACCAAUCAGCUCUCUGUGGCUAGCUAGAGGUUUCUAAAAUGGACCAAUCAGUGCUUUGUAAAGUGGACCAAUCAGAACACUGUAAAAUGGACCAAUUAGUGCUCUGUAAAAUGGACCAAUCAGACCAAUCAGCACUCUGUAAAAUGGACCAAUCAGCAGGACAUGGGUGGGGACAAAUAAGGGAAUAAAAGCUGGCCACCCUCCAGUCAGCAGCAGGCAACCCACUGGGUCCCCAUCCCUGUUGUGGUGUAUUUGUUAUUUUGCUCUUGGCAAUAAAUCUUGCUGCUGCUCA